GAUUAGUAUGGAAAUGAACGCUAUCACGAUCUAUACAUUUAAUGUAAGUGAGCCAUUAGUUUGUCUCUAAAUUUGCAUGAAGAAGGGAAAAAUUGUUCAGAAAUUUCAGUAUUUAUAAGGUUAAAACAAACGAGAAAAACAAUAAGUUCUGAGACCAGGGACAAAAUUGUUUCCUUAGUAUUUUUUCAUAGAAUAGUGAAUAACAUGAACAUGUAUAAUCAACAAUAUCCUCGGAUUGAAGGCAGUGGUGAGUUGAUAUUUUAUGGGAGUAUCAUUUAAGUCCCUUGUGGAGGUCUUAAAUAUUGAGUUAAAGAAU
This 316-nucleotide long non-coding RNA is filed under the name Bos taurus (domestic cattle). RNAcentral's name for it is "long non-coding RNA NONBTAT008166". Lineage: Eukaryota; Metazoa; Chordata; Mammalia; Artiodactyla; Bovidae. The record is from RNAcentral.